RNAcentral lists this ribosomal RNA (477 nucleotides) under uncultured bacterium. Its description in RNAcentral is "partial 16S ribosomal RNA". It matches the Rfam family "Bacterial small subunit ribosomal RNA", at positions 29 to 507 of the family's 1533-position model. The record is from RNAcentral.
AUGAACGCUGGCGGCGUGCUUAACACAUGCAAGUCGAACGCGAAAUGUAGACGGAAACCUUCGGGCGGAAGCCUUCAUUUCGAGUGGCGGACGGGUGAGUAACGCGUGGGUAACCUGCCUCAUACAGGGGGAUAACAGUUGGAAACGACUGUUAAUACCGCAUAAGACCACAGCAUCGCAUGAUGCGGGGGUAAAAACUCCGGUGGUAUGAGAUGGACCCGCGUUCGAUUAGCCAGUUGGCGGGGUAACGGCCCACCAAAGCGACGAUCGAUAGCCGAUCUGAGAGGAUGACCGGCCACAUUGGGACUGAGACACGGCCCAAACUCCUACGGGAGGCAGCAGUGGGGAAUAUUGCACAAUGGGGGAAACCCUGAUGCAGCGACGCCGCGUGAGUGAAGAAGUACUUCGGUAUGUAAAGCUCUAUCAGCAGGGAAGAAAAUGACGGUACCUGAGUAAGAAGCCCCGGCUAACUACGUG